RNAcentral lists this unclassified non-coding RNA (485 nucleotides) under uncultured Glomus. Its description in RNAcentral is "SSU rRNA". It matches the Rfam family "Eukaryotic small subunit ribosomal RNA", at positions 569 to 1059 of the family's 1831-position model. Lineage: Eukaryota; Fungi; Glomeromycota; Glomeromycetes; Glomerales; Glomeraceae. The record is from RNAcentral.
AGCAGCCGCGGUAAUUCCAGCUCCAAUAGCGUAUAUUAAAGUUGUUGCAGUUAAAAAGCUCGUAGUUGAAUUUCGGGAUCAGUUGAUCGGUCGUGCCUCGGUACGUACUGGUCAAAUUGAUUCCUACCUUCUGACGAACCACGAUGUCAUUAAUUUGGUGUCGUGGGAAAUCAGGACUGUUACUUUGAAAAAUUAGAGUGUUUAAAGCAGGCUCGCGCUUGAAUACAUUAGCAUGGAAUAAUGAAAUAGGACGUUUGAUUCUAUUUUGUUGGUUUCUAGGAUCGACGUAAUGAUUAAUAGGGAUAGUUGGGGGCAUUAGUAUUCAAUUGUCAGAGGUGAAAUUCUUGGAUUUAUUGAAGACUAACUACUGCGAAAGCAUUUGCCAAGGAUGUUUUCAUUAAUCAAAGAACGAAAGUUAGGGGAUCGAAGACGAUCAGAUACCGUCGUAGUCUUAACCAUAAACUAUGCCGACUAGGGAUCGGAUG